UUUUUUGAGAGUUUGAUCCUGGCUCAGGAUGAACGCUGGCGGUGUGCUUUAGGCAUGCAAGUCGAACGGUAAUUUCAACUUCGGUUGAGAACGAGUGGCAGACGGGUGAGUAACACGUGAGAAUCUACCUUUAAGUGGGGGAUAGCUCGCCGAAAGGCGGGGUAAUACCGCAUGUGGUCGCAAGAUCAAAGCCGCAAGGCGCUUAAAGAGGAGCUCGCGCGCUAUCAGCUUGUUGGUGGGGUAACGGCCUACCAAGGCUAUGACGGCUAGCCGGUGUGAGAGCACGACCGGCCACAAGGCUACUGAGACACGGAGCCUACACCUACGGGUGGCAGCAACCGGGAAUAUUGCGCAAUGGGCGAAAGCCUGACGCAGCGACACCGCGUGUGGGAUGACGCUCUUCGGAGUGUAAACCACUGUGGCGAGGGAAUAACACAAUGAAGGUACCUCGCUAGAAAGCACCAGCUAACUACGUGCCAGAAGCUUCGGUAAUACGUAGGGUGCAAGCGUUAUCCGGAUUUACUGGGCGUAAAGGGUCCGUCGGCGUCUGGGCAAGUUUUUUGUUUAAGCCUGAGGCUCAACUUCAGAAAAGCAAAAAAUACUGCUCGGAUUGAGUCUAUUCGAGGAAGUUGGAAUUCUUGGUGGAGGGGUGAAAUCCGUAGAUAUCAAGAGGAACACCGCGCGCGAAGGCAGGCUUCUAGGAUAGUACUGACGCUCAUGGACGAAAGCUUGGGUAGCAAAGCGGAUUAGAGACCCGUGUAGUCCAAGCUGUAAACGCUGUCCGCUAGUUGUUUCCCUCGCACUGGACUCGUAACCCGAGUCUGGUGUGAGGGAAGUGACGUAAGCUAACGCGUUAAGCGGACCGCCUGGGGAGUACGACCGCAAGGUUAAAACUCAAAGGAAUUGACGGGGGAGCGCACAACCGGUGGAGCAUGUGGUUU
This 941-nucleotide ribosomal RNA is filed under the name Candidatus Woesebacteria bacterium. RNAcentral's name for it is "bacterial SSU rRNA". It matches the Rfam family "Bacterial small subunit ribosomal RNA", at positions 1 to 947 of the family's 1533-position model. Lineage: Bacteria; Candidatus Woeseibacteriota. The record is from RNAcentral.